UACGUAGGGGGCGAGCGUUGUCCGGAUUUAUUGGGCGUAAAGAGCGUGUAGGCGGCCCGGUAAGUCCGCUGUGAAAGUCGGGGGCUCAACCCUCGAAUGCCGGUGGAUACUGUCGGGCUAGAGUGCGGAAGAGGCGAGUGGAAUUCCUGGUGUAGCGGUGAAAUGCGCAGAUAUCAGGAGGAACACCAAUGGCGAAGGCAGCUCGCUGGGACGGUACUGACGCUGAGACGCGAAAGCGUGGGGAGCAAACAGG
This 253-nucleotide ribosomal RNA is filed under the name uncultured bacterium. Its description in RNAcentral is "partial 16S ribosomal RNA". It matches the Rfam family "Bacterial small subunit ribosomal RNA", at positions 524 to 776 of the family's 1533-position model. The record is from RNAcentral.